RNAcentral lists this ribosomal RNA (369 nucleotides) under uncultured Ehrlichia sp. RNAcentral describes it as "bacterial SSU rRNA". It matches the Rfam family "Bacterial small subunit ribosomal RNA", at positions 72 to 451 of the family's 1533-position model. Lineage: Bacteria; Pseudomonadati; Pseudomonadota; Alphaproteobacteria; Rickettsiales; Anaplasmataceae. The record is from RNAcentral.
UUUCCCGCCUCUGGCUAUAGGAAAUUGUUAGUGGCAGACGGGUGAGUAAUGCGUAGGAAUCUACCUAGUAGUACGGAAUAGCCAUUAGAAAUGGUGGGUAAUACUGUAUAAUCCCCGAGGGGGAAAGAUUUAUCGCUAUUAGAUGAGCCUACGUUAGAUUAGCUAGUUGGUGAGGUAAUGGCUUACCAAGGCUAUGAUCUAUAGCUGGUCUGAGAGGACGAUCAGCCACACUGGAACUGAGAUACGGUCCAGACUCCUACGGGAGGCAGCAGUGGGGAAUAUUGGACAAUGGGCGAAAGCCUGAUCCAGCUAUGCCGCGUGAGUGAAGAAGGCCUUCGGGUUGUAAAACUCUUUCAAUAGGGAAGAUAA